RNAcentral lists this ribosomal RNA (253 nucleotides) under uncultured bacterium. RNAcentral describes it as "partial 16S ribosomal RNA". It matches the Rfam family "Bacterial small subunit ribosomal RNA", at positions 524 to 776 of the family's 1533-position model. The record is from RNAcentral.
UACGUAGGCAGCGAGCGUUGUUCGGAGUUACUGGGCGUAAAGGGUGUGUAGGCGGUUCUUUAAGUUUGGUGUGAAAUCUCCCGGCUCAACCGGGAGGGUGCGCCGAAUACUGAGGGACUAGAGUGCGGGAGAGGAAAGUGGAAUUCCUGGUGUAGCUGUGAAAUGCGUAGAUAUCAGGAGGAACACCGGUGGUGUAGACGGCUUUCUGGACCGUAACUGACGCUGAGACACGAAAGCGUGGGUAGCAAACAGG